UUGCCGCUGAGUUAUUUUUCAGAAAUGUUGUGAAGUACUUCGGUUUACCCGAAAACAUCAUAAGUGAUAGGGAUACCAGAUUCACGGGGAGAUUCUGGACCGUGUUGUUCGGAUUGUUGGGAUCCGAACUUAAGUUCUCUACUGCCGCCCAUCCUCAGACCGACGGACAGACGGAGAGGAUCAAUGCCUUGCUGGAGGAGUACCUGAGGCAUUACGUGACGGCAAGUCAGAAGAAUUGGGUGGAGUUGCUGGAUGCUGCGCAGUUUUGCUAUAAUCUGCACAAGUCAUCCGCAACCAAGUUGAGUCCGUUCGAGUUGGUGAACGGGCAACAACCUCUGACUCCGCAUGAAGUUACCCUUCAAGACGGGAGUCGUUGCCCAGCCGCACAUCAGUUUGCUCGUGGCAAGCAGGAACUGGUGGACGAAGCAAGGGAUAGCUUGCUGGUGGCGCAACAACGCAUGAAGAAGUAUGUGGGCCAACAUAGACGAGACUUGGAAUUCCAAGUGGGAGAUCAAGUGAUGCUGAAGUUGACUUCCCAGAUUUGGAAGAAAGUGAGCUGCAAAACCGUCCAUCGUGGGGUCAUCCCGAAGUACGAUGGACCGUUUGAGGUGAUCAAGAAGGUGGGUCAUGUAGACUAUCGGUUGAAGUUGCCUGACCGACAAAAGAUCCACCCGAUCUUCCAUGUAAGUUUCUUGAAACCCUUCAACCAAGACGAGAUGGAUGAAGGACGGAGGCAAGCAAAACGUGCCCCGCCAGUGAUCCGCAAGCCAUUCCAGAAGGAGGUGGAAGCUGUGCUGGACCACAGAACGAUGGGGCAGAGCAAAAAGAACAAGCGGACAAAUUACCUGAUCCAAUGGAAGGGCGACACCGAGUUGGAUGCUACUUGGGAACGGGACGUGACAUUGUGACAGUUCGAAAAUAAAAUUGCUGAGUACCUGAGGAACGUGCGGAAGCAAGCCAAGUUGACGAGGGCGUCAACCUCUUCAGGUAGAGGUGGUUUGUUAGCCCCUUAGGGCGCGGUCCAGACGGAACGAACACGACCGUGGCCAAGUUCGGCCAAGCCAUGGUGUAGGUGGUACGCCGAAGGUGAAGCUUGUUGGAAACGAGUGGAUCCAUGUGUGAUGAUGUUUUCCUAGCCUAAGUAUGGGAUGGGGAAAGUUCUAGGGGCAUCAGGUGCCUCUAGGUUAGUUGGGGACAGAGGGGUGCCUCUACUAACGGUUGGAAGUUUUCCCUUAAGACACCUAUAUAGAGGGAUAACUGUAACUAAUCCAAGUCAAGGCCGUGGGCCAAGUCCACGGAUUGACUAUGAUUCGGUGGGAUGUUUUGGGUGGUUCCAAGGGUUAGGAACCAAGGUGCCUAAGAUUGCUAAGUGUUGGGGCAAGUUGGGCGCGGAACGUUGCGAUGGCAGGAAACGGAGCGCGCAGAAUGGUGCAGCAGUUGCUGUGCGCGCCGGAGAUGAACGUUGGGCAGUUGCUAACCGUCGAUGGCAGUUACUGGGGUUGCUGGCAGUUACCAGCCAACUCGGCCCUUGUUCCUAGUUGGUUUCUAAUUUCGUGGACGUUCAGUUAAGACCAGCGGUUGGGUCUUUUGUCAACCGUAACAUGCCUAUAAAUAUUGGGCUAGGCAGAGACUAAAGGGCAGAGAGUCUCAGAUAGUGAGAAUCACCCUUACAUGUUCUGCACGCCAAGUGUUUGUAGAAAUUCCUUGUAAACGUUAUUAUGCAAUACCGGAUUGGCCGUGUUGGCUGUAACUUGUGCGUGUGAUCCUUUACUUUACCUAAAUGUUUUGUGUUCUAAAUACUUGCGGAAAAGUAUGUCGCGUAGGCUGACUGGUAGAGGGACUUACCAGUGCCAUCACGCGGUUGGUUUAAUUGAGGGAGUUAAACACCUCGUGACAGCGUGGGAUCAGAGCACGACUCUGAUCCAUUAGAUCGUACUUUUGUUGUUUUUGUUUUGUAGGGAAUGAUGGUUGGACACGGAAACACUGUCCAAGAGCGGUUGCAACGUCAGGAAUCCGCGUUCGAGAACUUGAUGCAGCGUCUGGGAGACGUUCCAGAGGGUUCAAUGUUGUGGACGCUUUGUUGCAGACCCGAGAAACGAUCAACGCCCUGAUCGUGCAGAUGGACGAAACCCGGGCUAUGGUCUCCUCUGUUGGGGAUGUUGAAUCGUUGAGGAACGAAGUGGCUUCGUCCCGUGCUGAGAUCACGACUUUGCAGUCGGAGAUCGGUGUGUUGAAGAAGGCGGUUGGCUCUUCCAACACAGACCAUUCAGAAAUCUUCGAGAGGGAAAGUGAAAAUCCCCGAGCUGAAACCGUAUCAGGGGAGUAGGAGUUCGAAGGAUCUGGAGAACUUCUUGUGGGAUGUUGAACAGUACUUCAAGGCUGCUGACGUUCCAGAAGGAGAGAAGGUGUCCAUUGCAUCCAUGUACCUUAGCGAGGAUGCAAAAUUGUGGUAGAGAACGAUGCAGUCAGACCCCACCAGGCCCAAGAUUGAGACUUGGGAUGUGCUGAAGGAGGAAUUGAAGAAACAAUUCCUUCCCACGAAUGCCUCGUGGAAUGUUCGGGACGCGUUGUGGAACUUAAAGCAGAACAAGAGCGUUCAUGAGUAUGUUGCUGAGUUCCAGGCCCUGAUGUUGGAUGUGAAGGAGAUGUCUGAGGAAGACAGACUCUACACCUUCAUCCGUGGACUGCAGUCGUGGGCGCAGACGGAGUUGCGAAGACAGAAUGUUCAGACCGUGUCUCAAGCACUCGCUGCCGCAGAGAAGUUGAUAGACUUCAGGUCCCCGGGAUCCAACGACAGGAAGAAGGAGAAGGGCAAAGAGAAGGGCAAGGAUCAGAAAGGUGGACCGUUCGCGAAAAAGAAGAAAAAGAAGCAAUCGGUGGUCACAAAUGAGGCCGGUGGUGCUACUUCUUCUAAGGAAAAGCAGGCACCGAAUCUGAAGAAAGAUGGCUGCUUUAAUUGCGGAGGACCACACUUGACCCGCAAUUGUCCCAAUAAAAAGAAGGACCAGAACGUUAGUGCCUUGGUAGCUGAAGAUGAUGGCCACCAGUACGAGAUGCAGGACGCACGGUUCAACCCCAUGUAGUUCAUGAAUGCCAUCACAAGUACUAAUGGCCGUUCUACUUGUAAUGGUUUGAUGUAUGUGCAGGUUACGUUGAAUGGUAACCAGAUACUGGCGAUGGUGGAUACGGGAGCAUCGCACAGUUGCGUGACGAAACGCGUGGUAAAGCAGUUCCGGUUGAAGUUGAAGGACUUAGGCUUCAAGUUGAAGGCAGUCAACUCUGAAGCCAAGCCAGUGUUGGGCGUGGCAACGGUGGAAUUGGAGUUGGGGCCGUGGAAGGGAUGGUGCAGCCUCAUGGCCAGUCAGAUUGAUGACUUUGACUUGAUCCUUGGCAAAGACUUCAUGGUUACCAAAAUUGACUUGCGGUCGGGAUACUGGCAAGUCCACAUAGCCCCAGGAGAUGAGAAAAAAACUACGGUGGUGACGAGGUAUGGUUCUUUUGAAUUCCUUGUCAUGACGUUCGACUUAACGAAUGCACCUGCUACAUUUUGUAGGCUGAUGAACAAUGUCUUGUAUGAAUACCUUGACAAGUUUGUUGUAGUGUACCUAGAUGACAUUGUUGUGUAUUCGGAGUUCCUAGAGGAGCAUGUAGGGCACUUGAGAGACGUAUUCCGCAAGUUGAGGGAAUACGAACUCUAUGUAAAGAAGGAAAAGUGUGAGUUUGGCAGGGAGCAGAUCACUUUUCUUGACCAUGUGGUGAGCAAUUGCCGGAUCCAGAUGGAUCGCAGGAAGGUCGAGGCGAUUCUGGACUGGCCCGCACCCCAGAAGGUCGCUGAACUAAGGUCAUUUUUUGGGCUGGCAAACUACUACCGGCGCUUUAUCCAGGGAUACUCGAGGAUUGUAGCACCUUUAACCGACCUACUGAAGAAGAACAGACCGUGGAUGUGAGAUUACGAAUGCGAGGAUGCAUUCAGAAUGUUGAAGGAAGCAGUCACUUCUGAACCUGUGUUGCAACUUCCGGAGUUCACAAAGACUUUCGAAAUGCACACCGACGCUUCCGACCGUGCAAUUGGAGGAGUGCUGAUGCAAGAUAAACACCCAAUUGCGUUUGAAAGCCGAAAGCUGAAGGAAUGAGAGCAGAGAUACAGCACGCACGAGAAAGAGAUGACGGCCGUAGUGCAUUGCCUGGAGAUCUGGAAGCACUACUUGUUGAGAACCAAGUUCGUGGUGGUGACCGACAAUGUGGCCAAUACGUACUUCAAAACGCAGAAAAAGCUGACCCCAAAGCAGGCUCGUUGGCAGGAGUUUCUGGCCGAAUUCGACUUCGACUGGCUGCACAAGCCAGGAAAGGAGAAAGCGGUUGCCGACGCACUUAGCCAAAAGUACGUCGAAGAGUACGUUACGGCCCUUAGCACUGUGGAAACGGACUUCCGGGACAAGAUUAAGGCGGAGUCCCCGAACGAUCCAGUGUACCAGACUCUGAUCGCUCAAGUUCGUGAAGGCAAAGUUUGUCGUUUUUGGCUUGAAGACGACUUACUUUUUGUCAAGGGUGGUAGAGCUUAUGUCCCGGCAGGAGGGGAACUUAGGCGACAGUUGCUGCGAGAGACCCACGACACUCCUUGGGUUGGUCAUCCCGGAGUGGAACGAAUGAGGGCCUUGCUGUUGCGGAGCUUCUACUAGCCUAAGAUGGAAGAAGAUAUUGAAGCAUACGUGAGAACAUGUCUUGUGUGCCAACAAGACAAGGUGGAAAGGAAGAAGGAGCCAGACUUGUUGCAGCCUUUGCCGAUCCCUGAUCGACCGUGGCAAUCGAUCUCAAUGGAUUUCAUUUCGGGAUUUCCUAAGGUCGAUGGUAUGGCUUCUGUUUUUGUAAUCGUAGAUCGAUUUUCUAAGUAUGCUAUCUUUAUCGGUGCGCCGAAGGCGUGCCCGGCUGAUGUUGCCGCUGAGUUGUUUCUCAGAAAUGUUGUGAAGUAAUUCGGUUUACCCGAAGAUAUCAUAAGUGAUAGGGAUACCAGAUUCACGGGGAGAUUCUGGACCGUGUUGUUCGGAUUGCUGGGAUCCGAACUUAAGUUCUCUACUGCCGCCCAUCCUCAGACCGACGGACAGACGGAGAGGAUCAAUGCCUUGCUGGAGGAGUACCUGAGGCAUUACGUGACGGCAAGUCAGAAGAAUUGGGUGGAGUUGCUGGAUGCUGCGCAGUUUUGCU
RNAcentral lists this long non-coding RNA (5202 nucleotides) under Coffea arabica (coffee). RNAcentral describes it as "long non-coding RNA (CARA_LNC005108)". Lineage: Eukaryota; Viridiplantae; Streptophyta; Magnoliopsida; Gentianales; Rubiaceae. The record is from RNAcentral.